RNAcentral lists this transfer RNA (89 nucleotides) under Staphylococcus aureus. RNAcentral's name for it is "tRNA-Ser". It matches the Rfam family "tRNA". Rfam says of the family: Transfer RNA (tRNA) molecules are approximately 80 nucleotides in length. Their secondary structure includes four short double-helical elements and three loops (D, anti-codon, and T loops). The record is from RNAcentral. Lineage: Bacteria; Bacillati; Bacillota; Bacilli; Caryophanales; Staphylococcaceae.
GGAGAGUUGUCCGAGUUGGCCGAAGGAGCACGCCUGGAAAGUGUGUAGGCGCCGCAAGCGUCUCGAGGGUUCGAAUCCCUCACUCUCCG